UGCAGUCGAGGGGUAACAGAGAAAAGCUUGCUUUUUUGCUGACGACCGGCGAACGGGUGCGUAACGCGUAUGCAAUCUACCUUUUGCUAAGGGAUAGCCCAGAGAAAUUUGGAUUAAUACCUUAUAGUAUACUUACUUGGCAUCGAGAAAGUAUUAAAGAUUACGGCAAAAGAUGAGCAUGCGUUCUAUUAGCUAGUUGGUGUGGUAACGGCACACCAAGGCAACGAUAGAUAGGGGUCCUGAGAGGGAGAUCCCCCACACUGGUACUGAGACACGGACCAGACUCCUACGGGAGGCAGCAGUGAGGAAUAUUGGACAAUGGAGGCAACUCUGAUCCAGCCAUGCCGCGUGCAGGAAGACUGCCCUAUGGGUUGUAAACUGCUUUUAUACAGGAAGAAACAUCUCUACGUGUAGAGGCUUGACGGUACUGUAAGAAUAAGGAUCGGCUAACUCCGUGCCAGCAGCCGCGGUAAUACGGAGGAUCCAAGCGUUAUCCGGAAUCAUUGGGUUUAAAGGGUCCGUAGGUGGAUAAUUAAGUCAGAGGUGAAAUCCUGCAGCUUAACUGUAGAAUUGCCUUUGAUACUGGUUGUCUUGAGUUGUUAUGAAGUAGUUAGAAUAUGUAGUGUAGCGGUGAAAUGCAUAGAUAUUACAUAGAAUACCAAUUGCGAAGGCAGAUUACUAAUAAUAUACUGACACUGAUGGACGAAAGCGUGGGGAGCGAACAGGAUUAGAUACCCUGGUAGUCCACGCCGUAAACGAUGGUCACUAGCUGUUCGGUUUUCGAAUUGAGUGGCUAAGCGAAAGUGAUAAGUGACCCACCUGGGGAGUAC
RNAcentral lists this ribosomal RNA (830 nucleotides) under Flavobacteriaceae bacterium. Its description in RNAcentral is "bacterial SSU rRNA". It matches the Rfam family "Bacterial small subunit ribosomal RNA", at positions 56 to 883 of the family's 1533-position model. Lineage: Bacteria; Pseudomonadati; Bacteroidota; Flavobacteriia; Flavobacteriales; Flavobacteriaceae. The record is from RNAcentral.